RNAcentral lists this transfer RNA (74 nucleotides) under Clostridia bacterium. Its description in RNAcentral is "tRNA-Arg". It matches the Rfam family "tRNA". Rfam says of the family: Transfer RNA (tRNA) molecules are approximately 80 nucleotides in length. Their secondary structure includes four short double-helical elements and three loops (D, anti-codon, and T loops). Further hydrogen bonds mediate the characteristic L-shaped molecular structure. tRNAs have two regions of fundamental functional importance: the anti-codon, which is responsible for specific mRNA codon recognition, and the 3' end, to which the tRNAs corresponding amino acid is attached (by aminoacyl-tRNA synthetases). tRNAs cope with the degeneracy of the genetic code in two manners: having more than one tRNA (with a specific anti-codon) for a particular amino acid; and 'wobble' base-pairing, i.e. permitting non-standard base-pairing at the 3rd anti-codon position. Lineage: Bacteria; Bacillati; Bacillota; Clostridia. The record is from RNAcentral.
GCAUCCUUAACUCAGUUGGAUAGAGUGACAGCCUCCGAAGCUGUAAGCCGCCGGUUCAAGUCCGGUGGGGUGCA